This 68-nucleotide transfer RNA is filed under the name Kinyongia fischeri (Fischer's chameleon). Its description in RNAcentral is "tRNA-Arg". The record is from RNAcentral. Lineage: Eukaryota; Metazoa; Chordata; Lepidosauria; Squamata; Chamaeleonidae.
AAGGAAUUAGUUUAAAAAAAACAACUACCUUCGAACUAGUUAACUUAGCUCGCACCCUAAAUUCCUAA